CUCUUCACUAGAGUCACAAUCAAUUUCAAAGGAUGUGGUCUUAGACAUUCUCAAAGUUUUCAAAAAUAUGUAAUGCAACAAACAAAUUACUUAAAAUUUCAAGAGAAGUUCCCUAGGAGACUUAAGGAAGUAAAAGAUGUCCAAGUUCACUACCAGGAAAGGGAGGUGUAUCACAAAGGAUUGCUUAAGAGCUAAGUCUUUUCUAGCCAAAGCUUAUCUUAGGUACUCUUACACCACUGCUCUCAAAAGGAAAAAAAUUGAAAUUAAAUUAAACACACACUAAACUACCAAUAUUAAGGAAAACAAUAAAUCUAAACUAUGCGGCCUAAUGAUGAAUUAAAAGGAACUUUGGUUCCCUCUUACCCACCAACUACAAAUUUCGCUUAAAUAAUAAAUGUUCAAUUUUCUUGUUAGGACAAACCCCUAACAAGUCAAAAAUACAAGUCCAAAAAGGAAAACAACUAAUAUUUUACAAUUCAAAGAAAAUACAGACAAAUCUCUCUUUCUCACCAAGUGUAUACUCUCUUGUUUUGUGUUUUAGACAAAGACUUUAAGCUUCCCUUCAAGGCCUCCUUCACCUUUGGAUGUUACUCACUGUUUUGGGCUGUCCUCCCCAUGAUCCUCACGUUUUUUU
Molecule: long non-coding RNA, 634 nt
Filed under: Vigna radiata
Lineage: Eukaryota; Viridiplantae; Streptophyta; Magnoliopsida; Fabales; Fabaceae
Description: long non-coding RNA (VRAD_LNC013806)
Source: RNAcentral